GGCCUGUUCAAUCUCCUGUGGCACGGGAUACAGCGCCCGCUACAGGAUAUGCGACUCUUCCGCACCAUUGUUUGAUGGAAAUGAUUGUUUUGGCAGUGCAAGAUCCUACAAACAAUGCAACAUUGGACCUUGCCCAAUUGAUGGUGGGUGGUCGGAAUGGACACCGUUUGGGGUGUGCAGUCGCACAUGUGGGAAAAACGCAGUUAAAGAGAGGUAUCGUCAGUGUAACAAUCCAGUAGCGGCCUUCGGCGGUGCUGAUUGUAGCGGUGAACAUUUCCAGAUAGACAUAUGCCCUGUUCGGG
Molecule: long non-coding RNA, 302 nt
Organism: Mya arenaria
Lineage: Eukaryota; Metazoa; Mollusca; Bivalvia; Myida; Myidae
Exons: 3
Source: RefSeq, a predicted model, not a curated record